UCCCAGUGAAGAAACAUUUACACGUCUUACCUCUUGUCCUAGUUUCAGAUGCUGUAAAGAUGAACCCACGGGGGCUGGCUGGGGAAAAAAAGGAAAGCUUGUUUCAGAAGGAACUGUCCAAGCAAU
This is a small nucleolar RNA of 126 nucleotides. Its record names the gene SNORD22. It matches the Rfam family "Small nucleolar RNA SNORD22". Rfam says of the family: U22 is a member of the C/D class of snoRNA which contain the C (UGAUGA) and D (CUGA) box motifs. U22 is encoded within the U22 snoRNA host gene (UHG) in mammals and has also been identified in Xenopus. U22 is thought to as a 2'-O-ribose methylation guide for ribosomal RNA. The record is from Ensembl.